RNAcentral lists this ribosomal RNA (301 nucleotides) under uncultured bacterium. Its description in RNAcentral is "partial 16S ribosomal RNA". It matches the Rfam family "Bacterial small subunit ribosomal RNA", at positions 509 to 807 of the family's 1533-position model. The record is from RNAcentral.
CAGCCGCCGCGGGAAAACGUAGGUGGCAAGCGUUGUCCGGAAUUAUUGGGCGUAAAGGGCUCACAGGCGGUUUCUUAAGUCUGAUGUGAAAGCCCCCGGCUCAACCGGGGAGGGCCAUUGGAAACUGGGAAACUUGAGUGCAGAAGAGGAGAGUGGAAUUCCACGUGUAGCGGUGAAAUGCGUAGAGAUGUGGAGGAACACCAGUGGCGAAGGCGACUCUCUGGUCUGUAACUGACGCUGAGGAGCGAAAGCGUGGGGAGCGAACAGGAUUAGAUACCCCGGUAGUCCCUGUCUCUUAUAC